GCCAGCAGCUAUCACUCUGCUGCUCUCGUCUAAGCAGGGUUGAGCCUAGUCAGUACCUGGAUGGGAGACCUCUUGGGAAAACUAGAUUUCUGCUGGAA
This is a ribosomal RNA of Sinocyclocheilus anshuiensis, 98 nucleotides long. NCBI's taxonomy places the organism in Eukaryota, Metazoa, Chordata, Actinopteri, Cypriniformes, Cyprinidae. The record is from Ensembl.